RNAcentral lists this ribosomal RNA (774 nucleotides) under uncultured Neocallimastigales. Its description in RNAcentral is "partial large subunit ribosomal RNA". It matches the Rfam family "Eukaryotic large subunit ribosomal RNA", at positions 24 to 648 of the family's 3401-position model. The record is from RNAcentral. Lineage: Eukaryota; Fungi; Neocallimastigomycota; Neocallimastigomycetes; Neocallimastigales.
UACGACUACAUAUCAGGCAUAUCAAUAAGCGGAGGAAAAGAAACUAACUAGGAUUCCUCAGUAACGGCGAGUGAAGCGGGAAGAGCUCAAAUUUGAAAUCUUCAAGGUUUUACCUUGACGAAUUGUAGUUUAAAGAAGUGUUUUCUGUUGGUGUUUUGGUAAAAGUUCUUUGGAAUAGGACAUCAUAGAGGGUGAGAAUCCCGUAUUUGACCGUUACUUUCCAGCUGUGUGAUACACUUUCAAAGAGUCGGAUUGUUUGGGAAUGCAGUCCAAAAUGGGUGGUAAAUUUCAUCUAAAGCUAAAUAUUGGCGAGAGACCGAUAGCGAACAAGUACCGUGAGGGAAAGAUGAAAAGAACUUUGAAAAGAGAGUUAAACAGUACGUGAAAUUGUCAAAAGGGAAGCGUUUAACACCAGUGUUGUUUUCUCGAAAAUCAAUUAAAAAGUAUGGGAUUUUGUAUUGUUAAGACCUUAUCAGCUUACGGUACUUUUUUCUUAUUCUUUUUAAUGCACUUUUCGUUUAACAAGUCAGCAUCAAUUUCUUUUGUUGUAAAAGAGUCAUUGGAAGGUGGCUUUCACUUCGGUGAAAGUGUUUAUAGCCUUUGGCUUCUGCAAUCGGAGAGAUUGAGGUCUGCAGCGUAGAUCCUUCGGGGUUAGAUACGUUUGUGCUAAGUUAUAGCUUUUCAUAGACAACUUGUUGACUAUGUUUAGUCUUGUAGCUUACUCGCUGACGCUAUUUUACCUACGCUUAGGAUGUUGAAUCUGUGCGAGACUAC